UCCAGCGGCCAGCGCAGUUGUGCCAUCCAAGACGACCUUGAACUUUCUUGAACCAGAAAAUGGCGGCCAGAAAGUGAUUUUUAGAAAUGAUAUUAAUUGUAUUUGCUGUUUUAUAAGCAAACUAUGAUGUGUCAUGGAAUACCUUAUCAGCCCGUGGAUACAUAAGGUCUUGCUUGCUGGCUGCAGUUGGACGCAACAGCCACACAGAGGUAGAGAUGCAGACAGUCAGGUGCCGACAGCCCAGUGCCAUCCAGCCUAGACUUGGUAACCAGUGAGAAGUCUUCAGCACUCAUCCUAGUGACAGUCCUUGGUAUCUGGGGUGGAGGGGCACUUUCUGACUCUUCAGACUGAAAGAUUGUCAAAGUCAGACGUCUGAGUUGGGAACAGCCUGGAUCAGCUGCACAUUGGAAGCCUGCCCAAUUGCCCGACAUUCAACCUUUCGGUGGACUGUUUAUCCCAGAAGAACAAGAUUGUGUCGUCGGAGUGGUCUCUACAUCCCCAAGUCUCCAAGUGGAUAAUGUUGUUGUUUUAUUCAGAUGAUGACUAUCAACAAAUGGUGACAUCAAUAAAUGACAAUGCUAACAACAAACGGCCCCAAGAUCCUGACCACAACAAAGGUGAAGAAUACUGCCUCAUCCAAGGGAGAUAAACCACUGUCAUCGCACAUGCCAAUCAAGAUUCUUCAGUCACCUACGCCUGUAGGUUCUACUACACCAAAUCAGCACCAGUUGGGACAGUGCGGUUUUCGUAGGGAGCCUUCAGUGCAGAUCAAGAGAUAUCUGCAGGCUGUGAUUGGAUGAUAUUGUAGAAGCUGAUCUGAAGUCCGGUGUUGGCAGUGUGUGAUCAUCAUCCCUUGUUUUGCCUCGCUGCGCUCUAUUACCUUGUAGAAGUUAUGAAACUUAGACAUGUACUACUACACCAAAUCAGAACCAGUUGGGACAGUGCAGUUUUCGUAGGGAGCCUUCAGUG
Haliotis rufescens (red abalone) is the source of this 969-nucleotide long non-coding RNA. RefSeq lists it as uncharacterized. Lineage: Eukaryota; Metazoa; Mollusca; Gastropoda; Lepetellida; Haliotidae. The transcript has 7 exons. The record is from RefSeq and is a predicted model, not a curated record.